This 576-nucleotide unclassified non-coding RNA is filed under the name Homo sapiens (human). RNAcentral describes it as "protein tyrosine phosphatase 4A3 (ENSG00000275575.4)". Lineage: Eukaryota; Metazoa; Chordata; Mammalia; Primates; Hominidae. The record is from RNAcentral.
AGCGCCUGGAGCCGGCUCCGCGGCGGAGGGGCGGCGCCCCGACCCAGGCCCAGCACCGUGGGCACCGCCAGGCCGGCGCGUAUGGAGGCGGUGGGACGCCUGCGGCGCGGGUGAGCCUGGCAGAUGCUGUGUGCUGUGGACCCACCUGGGGUUCAUGGAGUGGGCCACGGGGCCCAGCCCUAAGCACUGCUGCGCCCAGGGUCGCCGCGCCUCCUGCUGAGGGGUCCCCGUGCCACUGGCUCUCACCAUUGCCCUCGCCUGCCGAUGGCCUCUGCUGCCCAGCCUGGGGCCAGCUCUACCGCCUGAGCCCCCUGCCCCACUCCAGGACUCACCGUACCCCGAUGGGGUAACGUGACACAGGCCCCACACGUCAGAGGCCGCUGUCCCCACGGCCACUGCCCGUGACCCCUGGCCCAAGGCAGCUGGAGUUGGUUCAGUUCAAGUUCAUUCUUCCUCUGGCCCUUGGGGGCUUGGGGCCCACCUCUGAGUGAAGGGGGCUGUCUGCCCAUCCACCAAUGUGGAGAGGGCGCCCCCGGUGUGGGGUCCAGCUCUGGACACUGCUUGGCGGCCGGGUUC